AAGCCCGAUGGAGGCCAAAGUGGAGGGCGAGCAGGAGAUGUUCCUCAAUCUAAUGAAAAUGGUGGAGCCUCUAAUCAACCUCAAGAUCUUAACCAGCAGUGGCUCCAGAUUAUCAAGAUGCUAGUCGAUAAUAUACCAGAAGGCCUCAGUGCUUGGAUUUCCCAGUUUAAUCAAGUAGUAAAUCCCGUGCUAGAGCAGUUACGGGAACUUCUGAAUGUAACAGAGGAAAAAGCAGAGCUCUAACUAUCCUGGAUAGCAACCUUCUUUGCUUGAAUUGGGUUUUUUAAUGGUUUCACACAUUGUUUACAUGGUUUGAAAGUUAUUGGUUGUAAGGCCGGGACUGCUGGUGCUUAUGGUCUUUUAAGGAUGAGAUGCAUGUUUGGUAAUGAUCAAGUGAUUAGUGAUUGUAUUGAUUUAGACAUUUGGCAAUGAGGAAUUAAUCUUAUUUGUAUUACUGACUGGGUUUUCUGGUUUCUUUGUGUGGUGGUAAGGAUUAUAAUAAGCCUAUACACCUACUGUUAAAAUGUUUGGAGUUGGUAAGGUUUGUAAAAAGCCUUUUGAAAAAA
Molecule: long non-coding RNA, 566 nt
Organism: Sinocyclocheilus anshuiensis
Lineage: Eukaryota; Metazoa; Chordata; Actinopteri; Cypriniformes; Cyprinidae
Exons: 4
Source: RefSeq, a predicted model, not a curated record